CUUGGUCAUUUAGAGGAAGUAAAAGUCGUAACAAGGUUUCCGUAGGUGAACCUGCGGAAGGAUCAUUACAGAAAGUAAACGCGGAUCAAACCGCGAACUUCUAAACCUUUGACGAUUGACUCAUGUUGCCUCGGCGGGUUCUCCCGCCAGAGGAUACAUCAAAACUCCUGUUUUAACGGUGUUGUCUGAGCUACAAGCAACGAAUCAAAACUUUCAACAACGGAUCUCUUGGUUCUGGCAUCGAUGAAGAACGCAGCGAAAUGCGAUAAGUAGUGUGAAUUGCAGAAUUCAGUGAAUCAUCGAAUCUUUGAACGCACAUUGCGCCCCUUGGUAUCCCGAGGGGCAUGCCUGUUCGAGCGUCAUUUCACCACUCAAGCCUGGCUUGGUGUUGGGCGACGUCCCCUUUGGGGACGCGCCUCGAAACGCUCGGCGGCGUGGCACCGGCUUUAAGCGUAGCAGAAUCUUUCGCUUUGAAAGUCGGGGCCCCGUCUGCCGGAAGACCUACUCGCAAGGUUGACCUCGGAUCAGGCAGGGAUACCCGCUGAACUUAAGCAUAUCAAUAAGCGGAGGA
RNAcentral lists this ribosomal RNA (571 nucleotides) under uncultured Cenococcum. Its description in RNAcentral is "eukaryotic LSU rRNA". The stretch from base 209 to 362 matches the Rfam family "5.8S ribosomal RNA". Lineage: Eukaryota; Fungi; Ascomycota; Dothideomycetes; Gloniales; Gloniaceae. The record is from RNAcentral.